Molecule: non-coding RNA, 482 nt
Organism: Drosophila virilis
Lineage: Eukaryota; Metazoa; Arthropoda; Insecta; Diptera; Drosophilidae
Source: RefSeq, a predicted model, not a curated record
UGUGUGUGUGUGUGCGAGAGUGCUUUUGCGUUCGCCUUGCUAAAAAUAGCGAAUGAUUGCAGUCGCAUUUACCGUUGCCGCGCUCAGUCGCAAGAACAACGGACAACUCCUAGCGGGAACUGCACUACACAAACAUGCAUGAACACACACACACACACCCCGCUUCCACCGACCCCCUUCUGGCAUGCCCUGCACAAUUUUUUUUUCAUGCAAAAAGGUUGAAGACCUUUCACCUACUUUUGCCGCGGACGGGGCGAACAUCGGCACAGGGCGAAGAGCAAACUGUUUUUCGCUGUGUGCGAGCGCCAGCGAGUGCGGCGAGCCAAGGCGAGGCGAAGACAAACAAAACAACAGCCUGUCAAGUAAAUCAUGGUGCAGCGACUGUUGAAUACCCUGUAAGCGUUGCAGUUGUGCGUUAUAUUUAUCAAUGUAUAAUAUCAAUAAUAUAAUCAAUUAGUAAAAAGCUACAAAUUUAAUGUAAA